GUUGUGGCUUAGUGGUGGAGCACUUGCCUGGCAUGUGUGGAGCCCUGGGUUCAAUCCUCAGCACCACA
RNAcentral lists this transfer RNA (68 nucleotides) under Marmota monax (woodchuck). RNAcentral's name for it is "tRNA.Ala". Lineage: Eukaryota; Metazoa; Chordata; Mammalia; Rodentia; Sciuridae. The record is from RNAcentral.